RNAcentral lists this long non-coding RNA (1310 nucleotides) under Equus caballus (horse). RNAcentral's name for it is "lncRNA (ENSECAG00000044540.1)". Lineage: Eukaryota; Metazoa; Chordata; Mammalia; Perissodactyla; Equidae. The record is from RNAcentral.
CCACACCCGUCUACUGCAUCAGAAACUCUGGAAUCUGGGUCUUAACAAACCCUCCAAGUGAUCCUGAUGCCGGCUCAAGUUUGACCCCAAAUUAGAGGGACACAAUGAGAAGGCUGGCACUCCAGGGUGGGACAUUCCCCGGGUCCCCCAAAGCAUCAGUCAAGUCUACCCAGGUGAUGAAUUUGCUUCGUGCAAGUGGGUAUCUUAUACAAGCUAGCCAAGUUGGUGAAUUCCACAUCCAUUGUUGAUGCAGCGUGCGCAAAGACCACAGGAGAAUGUGGGCUCAGAGCACAAGCCGGCGGGAAUUAACGAAAAUUCUGGGAGAGACUUUGACUUUCACAGACUCGGAAACUGACCCAUUUGUACAUUGGUGUUGAAGAGGCAAGAAGGCUCCAGAUGGUGUUUGGGUCACAAUACAUUUACGUGCCUUCAGAGGAGAAGGGGAACUCCUGACGUGUGAGGCAGAGUGCUGGGCACUUGACGCAGCUUCUCUGUUACCCUCACACCAGCCCUUCGAGGCAGGCGGCCUCAUACCCUGUUGUGCACGAGGGGACUGCAGCUCUGAAUGGCCCAGUAAUUUGCCGAAGGUAAAUGACAAAGCCAGAACUAGCUACCAGGUCAUUCCGACUCCAGAACCUCAGCUUUCACUCUUACAUUUGGUCUGAAUGGGCAUCUCUGUGAAGAAUUUGCCCUGGUGUCUGGGCUUCAGAGACAUCCUGCCACAGCAGCCCCUGCCAGCUCGUCUGCAGGAUCCAUCGAUGAUCUGCCCCUUACUACUCCUCUCCGCUCCAGCAGGACAGGCCAGCUCCUGACGCCACCCAGGAGAGCCCCGGGGAGCCCUGCAGAGGGCUGGAGGUGCCGUGCAGCUCACGGUCAUUGUUGUCAUCCUUCUCCAGGCCUGCCUUGAGUACCAAGAAACUGCCAGGACUCUGCAGACAGGUCCAGCACUCACUGCGUUUCUUCAUCUCUAAAACAGACUGUAACUGUGGCUCCCGCGUAGGUUGUUGUAAGGAUCAAAUCAGUGAAAAUGGGAAGAGUUCUAGGAAGAAGGCGUGAUGCUAGGUUUAGGAGCAUGGAGUCCAAUCCUCCCGGCUCUAAGCAGGACCCAGCCAGCCUGCUCUACCCAGAGCCUUCCUUAGCUACUCCCAGCCACGCAAUGUCAAUCACAACCUCCUGCCUCUCCGGCAGGCCAGCUUUCAGAGAGAGCUGGCCGCUGCUUCUGGGGGCUUUGCGAGGAACAGCUGGCAAAUUCUCCUUCCUGCUGAGGGCCCCUCUGCUUGGAUCCUCAGCCGACAGGACUCCAUCUGCUG